This 75-nucleotide transfer RNA is filed under the name Actinacidiphila glaucinigra. Its description in RNAcentral is "tRNA-Val". It matches the Rfam family "tRNA". Rfam says of the family: Transfer RNA (tRNA) molecules are approximately 80 nucleotides in length. RNAcentral also lists the same sequence under 24 other names. The record is from RNAcentral. Lineage: Bacteria; Bacillati; Actinomycetota; Actinomycetes; Kitasatosporales; Streptomycetaceae.
GGGCGUGUAGCUCAGCGGUAGAGCGCUGCCCUUACAAGGCAGAUGUCGGCGGUUCGAAACCGUCCACGCCCACCA